This 481-nucleotide ribosomal RNA is filed under the name Potamothrix moldaviensis. Its description in RNAcentral is "partial 16S ribosomal RNA". It matches the Rfam family "Bacterial large subunit ribosomal RNA", at positions 1824 to 2597 of the family's 2925-position model. Lineage: Eukaryota; Metazoa; Annelida; Clitellata; Tubificida; Naididae. The record is from RNAcentral.
UGCCACUAGAGAUCUGAUUAGUGGUUCAUCCUGCCCAGUGAUUUUUAACGGCCGCGGUAUCCUGACCGUGCAAAGGUAGCAUAAUCAUUUGCCUAUUAAUUGUAGGCUAGUAUGAAAGGAUAAACGAGAAUUAAGCUGUCUCCUUUUAGCACUUAAAAAUUUAUAUUUGAGUGAAGAAGCUCAAAUAAAAUCGCAGGACAAGAAGACCCUAUAGAGCUUUACCUUAAACACUUCACAAAAAAUUUUACGGUUCGGUUGGGGCGACCGGGGGCGUAACCAAUCACCCCUAUUACAUAAGAUCUACAAAUCUCAUUAAUGAUCCUUAGACAAAGAUCAAUGAAUUUAGCUACCUUAGGGAUAACAGGCUAAUCCUCUUUGAGAGCCCUUAUUGACAAGAGGGAUUGGCACCUCGAUGUUGGCUUAAGAUUUCUUUAUGACGCAGCAGUCAUAACUAGAUGGUUUGUUCAACCAUUAAAUUCUU